CUGAACCAGCCAAGUAGCGUGAAGGAUGACUGCCCUAUGGGUUGUAAACUUCUUUUAUACGGGAAUAAAGUUAGCCACGUGUGGUUUUUUGUAUGUACCGUAUGAAUAAGGAUCGGCUAACUCCGCGCCAGCAGCCGCGGUAAUACGGAGGAUCCGAGCGUUAUCCGGAUUUAUUGGGUUUAAAGGGAGCGUAGGCGGGUUGUUAAGUCAGUUGUGAAAGUUUGCGG
This 227-nucleotide ribosomal RNA is filed under the name uncultured Bacteroides sp. Its description in RNAcentral is "partial 16S ribosomal RNA". It matches the Rfam family "Bacterial small subunit ribosomal RNA", at positions 383 to 607 of the family's 1533-position model. The record is from RNAcentral. Lineage: Bacteria; Pseudomonadati; Bacteroidota; Bacteroidia; Bacteroidales; Bacteroidaceae.